GACGUAGGGCGCGAGCGUUGUCCGGAUUUAUUGGGCGUAAAGAGCUCGUAGGCGGCUUGUCGCGUCGACCGUGAAAACUCGCAGCUCAACUGCGAGCCUGCGGUCGAUACGGGCAGGCUAGAGUUCGGUAGGGGAGACUGGAAUUCCUGGUGUAGCGGUGAAAUGCGCAGAUAUCAGGAGGAACACCGAUGGCGAAGGCAGAUCUCUGGGCCGUAACUGACGCUGAGGAGCGAAAGCAUGGGGAGCGAACAGG
Molecule: ribosomal RNA, 253 nt
Filed under: uncultured bacterium
Lineage: Bacteria
Description: partial 16S ribosomal RNA
Rfam family: Bacterial small subunit ribosomal RNA
Source: RNAcentral